GCCUUCGUGGUGUAAUGGUCAGCACACUGAGCCGGUAUUUCAGAGGUCCGUGGUUCGAACCUCGGCGAAGGCA
Molecule: transfer RNA, 73 nt
Filed under: Stegodyphus mimosarum
Lineage: Eukaryota; Metazoa; Arthropoda; Arachnida; Araneae; Eresidae
Rfam family: tRNA
About the family: Transfer RNA (tRNA) molecules are approximately 80 nucleotides in length. Their secondary structure includes four short double-helical elements and three loops (D, anti-codon, and T loops).
Source: Rfam by way of RNAcentral